Molecule: ribosomal RNA, 253 nt
Filed under: uncultured bacterium
Lineage: Bacteria
Description: partial 16S ribosomal RNA
Rfam family: Bacterial small subunit ribosomal RNA
Source: RNAcentral
UACGUAGGGCGCAAGCGUUAUCCGGAAUUAUUGGGCGUAAAGGGCUCGUAGGCGGCCAACUAAGUCAGACGUGAAAUCCCUCGGCUUAACCGGGGAACUGCAUCUGAUACUGGAUGGCUUGAGUUCGGGAGAGGGAUGCGGAAUUCCAGGUGUAGCGGUGAAAUGCGUAGAUAUCUGGAGGAACACCGGUGGCGAAGGCGGGUCUCUGGGCCGAUACUGACGCUGAGGAGCGAAAGCGUGGGGAGCGAACAGG